CGCCAUAUUACAUUGAGUCUGCCACAUGGUUCCACUCAUUGGAGAGGAAACUCCAGAAGGGGUUAAAGGUGGAGUUGAUGAAGGAGGUAUCAGAGCUGAAGGAGAACCAAGGGUAAGUGGGCUGAUCGACGCAAUGUCGAGUGAAGAACCACAGAUUGAUCUUGGAGACAGUACAGCAGAACCAGUUGAAGCAUACAAGGG
RNAcentral lists this unclassified non-coding RNA (201 nucleotides) under Hevea brasiliensis (rubber tree). Lineage: Eukaryota; Viridiplantae; Streptophyta; Magnoliopsida; Malpighiales; Euphorbiaceae. The record is from RNAcentral.